This is a long non-coding RNA of Brassica rapa (field mustard), 3265 nucleotides long. RefSeq lists it as uncharacterized. The record is from RefSeq and is a predicted model, not a curated record. NCBI's taxonomy places the organism in Eukaryota, Viridiplantae, Streptophyta, Magnoliopsida, Brassicales, Brassicaceae.
AUUAAUAGUUACGACCAAGUUUAUAAAAGGUAAACACUAGUUAGAGUUCUCUUGUUGCAAUUAAUUGGUAACUUUAUUGAGUGGUGGACUUUCGUAAUAGCCGUUGGAUUAAAGAUAAUAAAGAGAAAUCUGAGGGCUGAGGUUUGGUGUGGUCAAGAGAGGUAGUGAUGUGGGCAGAGUUAGAAGUGUUGAGGUCAUGGCUAGAGAGUGUGUGGUCGUGGCCAGAGAUCGUGUGGUCAUGGUUAGAAACCGUGUGGUUAAAGUUACGUAGAACAUUCCUAAGGAGAUAGAGGAUGUUGGGUCUGAAGUAGAUCUUCUAUUGUUUCCUUGGAUACCUGUUAGUGAUGAAGAGCCGUUCAAGUAGAUGUGAGAUUUAAGAACAGUUAGAUUUAGAAUUUGAGACAUCAAAAGUAGAGAAAAAUACAAAAAUUGGAGAAGAUGUGUAAGGCAACAAAUGCUUUUUGGUUUGGAGUAGAUGUUCAAUCUUCUCCUGGGAUAUCUGUCAGUAGCAAAGAGUCGUUCGGGUAGAUUGGAAUCUCGGCAGGAAGUGUCGCUGUUAUCUACGGCCACAUGAAGGUAGAGUGGAAAUUAGAUGAGAUUUAGGGUUUACAACAUAGUAAUAGAUCUGAAAUUGUGACAAUUAAAGAAAGUUAAAACCUGUCAUUUUUGGGGAAGAAGCCAGAUAUUGAUUCGGUUUGGCAACCGCAAAUCUUCGCCGGACUAUGACACAAUCAAGUAGACGCGACUGGUUUCGUUUCGUGAUUGAUGUCGAAGAGAAACAGUAUAAUUGAUGGUGGAUUUGAUUGAGGAAGAAGGAGAACAUAGACUACUCAAUUGGAAAUGGAGAAUUCAAUCGGUUUGAUGAGUUCAAGAAAUUAGAGUUUUGGAGAAAAUUAGCUUUGGCAAAAUAAUGAAAAAGAAAGUGCUUAAUUAUGAAAAAAGGAGAAAAGUAAAUAGAUAAUGACCGGUCCUAGUUUGCUCGAUUUAGAAUACAAAGGGUAUUGGUGACUUUUCAUUGCUUAGAAGUACUUCACAUGCUGUAAGUAUGUCAAAGUGUAAUGGGGAGGCUUAGAAGUAUGUCUAAGGGUAAUAUUUUCCUUUUUUAAACUCAUUUCCAUUCCGAAAAUGUUAUUAUCCUCUAGCUGGUGCAGUAUGUCAGCCUACCAUAUAGGUGUGUUAAGUUCUCUUUUUUUUUUUUUUUUUUUGAACAUCAGGUGUGUUAAGUUCUCAUCUAGUGGAUAAGUGUGUAAAGUUGUGCAAGGAUUGUGUUAAACAAAUAAUUUUACUUUCUCUCUCUCUCUCUCUCUCUCUCUCUCUCUCUCUCUCUCAUCCUUGUCAUUUUUCUCUAAAUUUUCUUUACUCUCCUCUCACUUACACGAACUAUAUUCUAUGUUUUAUAAUUUCAAUUUCUAAUUAAUAUGCCAAUUUAUAAAAAUUUACAUUCAGUUCACUUUACAAUUUCACCAUAUUUUCACAAACCCACUUUUAAUUUACCUAUCUCCAACGUUAUUACUAAUCUUUGUAGUAAACACACAAUCUUUGUGUUUAAACCAAAUUUCUCAAAAUUAUGUUCUAAAAAGUCUUGUAAUAUUUCUUUUUUAGCAACGUUCGAAAAGCCAUGUGAAAAAGGAAAUGCAGAAGAUUCUUAGUGUUAAUCAUCCACAUGUUGAGUUAACACCUUUCAAACAAACUUAUUUAGAUGACAAAUUUGUUGAAGUAAGCAAGAUGUUAUAAAAUACAUGUUGUUAAUUGUUUUGGUAAAUGGUUUUGACUUAUACAUUGUUUCAUAAAUUAUUUGUUACUUGAUAAAUUAGUUGAUACAUGGUUUACGAGUUGAUAUAAUUUUUGAUAAGUUAUUUAUUAUCUGAUAAAUGAUUUGUUAUUUUGGCUUAUACAUAGUUUGAUACAAAAUUAUUGAUAAAUGGCUGGUAUGCUACAUAGACUUGUCGUUAACUGAUACAUAGUUUGUAUAGCUGAUAAAUAAUUUAUCAAUUUUUAUAUAAUUUGAUACCUGGUUUGGUAGCUGAAAAAUGAGUUCAUACAUGGUUUAUGAGUUAAUGCGUUGUUUGAUAAAUUGUUUGUUAUCUGAUAAAAAUUUUGUUACAUGAUACAUGUUUUGUUAGUUGAUAUAUGUUUAUACGACAUCUUUUGAUAUUUUAUCCUAUAUAUGCAUGUUAGAUGAUAUAUAACACUAUGUCUUAGUGCUUACAAAUUACAUUAGCUGAAACCUUUACAUAUUGUUCGUCGUUGUUAGACAAACUGGAAGAUCCCCCAAAUAUAUUAUUUUUCAUAUGCUUAUAGUUCUUCUAGUUUGAGACUAAUAGAGAGAGAUUCGUAGGAUGCAUUUAUUUCUUGGUGAGGCUAUAAACCUUAUAUGGGAAUGAGUUAACCAUAUUGUUAAUAUCGUGGUGGAGAGAUAGUUUGAUUAGUCGUCGUAGAGAGAGAUAGUUUGUCCUAGUAAUUUUGUUUCAUAUUGUUAUAGCCAUAUUUUUAAUUAUUUUUCUCUUUUAUUUUUUUUUCCAUAAACUACAAUUUAUUUUUAUUUUUUAAUAAAUGCUAUAAAUAUAGAUAUAACUCAUGUGGUUAAAAGUGCUUCAGCUGUAAAGUUAUGACCUCGAAUGCCACUAUACUCAGCUGAUACACUUUUCUAUUCGAUGCAGCGUUAGAAGGGCAAAAUCGUCUACUUAUGGUUUAAAUGUCAUACACCAUACCAUUAAUAUCAAUCAAUGUGUAGUUAGAAAAUAUAGACUUCCAUUGGGUGUAGUUAGCUAAAUAUCUCAACUUAAAAUAUCUUAUGCAAGUUUUACAGAUAACACUUUCUUCUCCUUAAAGCACAUCAUAUAUUUGUUACCAACUUUGCUUACGCUUUAUCUUCGUCAAUUUCAAUUUCACAUUUUUAUAAAAGAAAUGUCGUUAUAAGAGUUAUUCUGUCUGUUUCAUAAAUACUGUUAUUUUGAUAUUUUUUUGUCUCAUAAAAAAUUAUUUUACAAUUUCAAUAUAAUUUAUAUUUAUAUUAAGUUUAAUAUAAUUGCAAAACACGUCGAUCUUAUAAAUAAUUUUGUUAUUUUAGAUACUAUUCCCUGUGUUCCAAAAUGUAUUAUGCCUUAGGCUAAUGCGCAACCAUUAAAAAUUAUUUUUCACAUAAAAUAUAUCACUAAAAUAUAAAUUAAAAAUAAUUUAUCUAAUAAAAAAAUAGACAACAAAAUAUCAUUGAUUACAUAAUUUUAUUAAAUUUAAAAGUUAUCAAAAAUAUGAAAACAUUUUA